CGGAUUUGACUUUAAAAAAAAACAGGUCGGAAGAUAGUUAAGAAAAAAACACACUGAGUAUAUUUAAAAUCGAUGUUUUUAUCUUCUAAACAUUUAACUUCUACUCGGAAAAACGUGGCUAAUCUCCACAUUUAUCAUCACAACCAGCGUUUCCAAUUUGUAAAAAUCCCAAGUAAGCUCCCAAACUAUCCCGGUAUUACCACUUUUUUUACGUCAUUAUAAUUUAGGUGGUUUUCGCGCCAAUUUCGGGUGGGAUAGCCUCGUACGUCAUGUUGUAAAAAUGAAAUCUGACAUCAACAGUAUGCAGCUCAAUAGGCGAUACUUUUUUAUUGGUUUACGGAUUUUACUUGAAAAAACCCAGGUCGGUAACUAUAUUUUACAAUAUAAAUAAGAAAUUUACUAUAUACUCUAAAUAUAUUAAGAAAAGUAUUAUCUAAAUAGUUAGUAUAAUCAGUGUAUCUUACGUUGGUAACCUUGACCAUCUACAACCUAAUUGAACACAGUACUAUUUUUAUUUCAACUUUGUCCCCAGGGCAUUUUGCAUGCCUUCACAGCUGAAGCACAGAAUACAGAUCAGCUGAAGGUCGGCAAAAAUGGCCCUGGGAUCAGCUGGUCACAUGACACCCAGAAUAUCUGGGUGUUUUGAUACGAUGAUUUAUGUGAAUUAAAUCUUUGUUGAUUAAAAUAAGUAAUGAACAUGCAAUUUGCCAAGUUGUUCAUCUAAAGAUUUUAUUUUAAGAGCAAUAUGCUUGCAUAAUUCUUCCUAUAUCAUGCAUGAAUCUGACAAACACAUAGCACAGCAUGAAGUAUAGGACGUAACUGAAUCUUCAUUAUACUCUCGGUAUUUUCUUAAGUUUGCCGUAUAAUUUGAAGACAAAACAAUUUUGAAGCACUGGAUUUGUUUGAAUAAAUUAUACUACAAGAUAACUUAUGCGUUUUUAAACAGACCAUUGGGAUUGUGCAAAUGAUCAGCCGAUCCCAAGGUUAUUUUCGCCAAACUUCAGCCGUGGAGGCAAAAUGCCCUGGGGGACGAGGUUAUUUUUAUUUGUAUUUUUAUUUUGCUUCUCAAAACGUACCCGAAAUCGGGUACGUUUUAUAGAAAUGUACACACAAGAUUCGUUAUUAUUUAAUUAGCCAUGUUUUAUCUAAUAAAUAUAGGAGGCACAAUUCUCAAUAUUCUUUCGCCAAUUUGGGUUUCAUUUGUGUAAUAAUUACAGAAUUUUAAGGGAAUUCAGUAGAAAAAAUUCCGAAAAGUUCAAGCUUUCGACGGAGCAAAGCACAUAAUUUAAAAGCUGGAUGAUGUCACUCAAUAGCUUUCAAAUGAUGCAUUUUGCUUCAGAAAAGGCACAGGUAUACUUGUGGAGACAUCGAUUUAUGACGAAGGGACCGAACAGGCUAAAAACAUGCGAUUGAAGAUCGAAGACAAAAUUUUGGAAUUAAUCGCACUCUUUUGGAACAAACGAGUUUGCAAGGAACACCAUUAGAAAAUACCAGACCAGUACAAUAGACACUUCCCGAAUGCGCUUGAAUGCACAAGAAAAUGUUGCUUUACAUGUGUGAACUUUACAGUAGAUGUGAACAUUUUGUAGUGUGUCUAUUGGUAUGAACAUUUUGUACUUUUUAUCUUGUCUGUCUUUUACCACGAUAUGUUCAAAAUAAACCAAUUGUCGUUUUUCUCUUGUGAGCUCGCACUAAAAUUAUGUCUUUGAGUAAGGUGACCAAAUCUUGUUUAAUCU
This is a non-coding RNA of Paramuricea clavata, 1736 nucleotides long. Lineage: Eukaryota; Metazoa; Cnidaria; Anthozoa; Malacalcyonacea; Plexauridae. The record is from the annotation of a GenBank genome assembly.